This 1260-nucleotide long non-coding RNA is filed under the name Homo sapiens (human). Its description in RNAcentral is "non-protein coding lnc-NLGN2-1:1". The record is from RNAcentral. Lineage: Eukaryota; Metazoa; Chordata; Mammalia; Primates; Hominidae.
ACGCGCGGGGCUGCUGCGGCUGCUCCGCCGGCGGAUCAUCACUCUCGGGCUGGGAUGGACGCGGGGCGGGCCGGCCCUGGCGCGCGGAGCCAGGAGUCCGGGCCUCCCGGCUGCUGAGCGUCCCUCGAAGCCUCCCCUCACCCCCGCCUUCCCUCCUAGGAUCCGCGCUGACCCCCGCCCCGGGGCUCUGGACUCGGCUCCCGCCCUCCUCUGACUCCCCGGACCUCCCCCUCACGCCCGCCCUCGGGAUCGACUAGAUCCCUCCCCCUCCCCGAGGAUUCCGGCUGGAUCCCUGCCCCUGCACCGCGGAUCCUGCGCUCCCGGGCCCCGGGCCCCUGGGGAUUAACGUGGACUCCUCCUCCAGCACCCGAUCCUUAGGAUCCUCCGCCUGGACCGCCUUCUGGUCCCUCGAAGCCGGCCCACGGAACCAGCGGAUCCUCAAUCUAGUCCUGUCCCGUUGCCCCCUCCUUUCUCUAUCGUCCCUACUGCGGGGUUCCCUGUUCUCGGGCUCCCCCUGAUCCCAUCCCCUAGCUCUCCUUUUCCCGGGGAUCGACUGGAUCCCGGCCCCGCCCCCCGGGGCUGGGGCGAUCCCCCUCCCCCGCCGGGUGAGGCGCUGCGGGCGGGGGCUGGGCCUGCGGGGCCGCGGGGGCUCAGAGGCCGCCGCCCCCUCCCGAAGGCCUUUCGCCCCCCACUCGGAGCCCUGGAUGGAGGCACCACGGCCCCAGGGCUGAGCCAGGGAGGUGGGAGCUGGGACUCCUGAGUCCCUGAGGAGAACCUGCCUGGGAGGGAUACAUCAGCUGGAAGGGAGCAUGCUGGGUCUGGAGAGCUGACCCGCCUCUCCUCUGGCUGGGUCCUGGACUUGAACCACAUCUGGGCCCCACCCCCAACCUAGGCGUCUGCUGAGGGGAGAAGGGCUGCUGGGUGGGAGUGGGGAGGUGUCAGGGGGCCUGUGGGUGGGAGAAGGGGGCAACUUGGUCUGAAUUCCAGGUCACUAACCACUUGUCUCUUCUGUUUCCCCAUUCCUUUCUGUCUGCCCCAUCCAAUUUCCCUUGCCCUCUUCCACCUCUGUAUUUUUCUGUCUGUCCGUCUGUCUGUAUCCUGCCUCCCUGCCCCUCUCGCUCCACCCCCCGCAGGUCGGGCCUGCCUUCACCUUCUCCCAUUUCCUUCCCCUUCCCCACCCCGUGCCCCCUCCAUGGAGAGGAACAGACCCCUUCUCUGUCCAGUCUAACCCAGGUCCCUCCCCAACCCCCUCCUCCCUCC